GCAUAUCAAUAAGCGGAGGAAAAGAAACCAACAGGGAUUGCCUUAGUAACGGCGAGUGAAGCGGCAAUAGCUCAAAUUUGAAAUCUGGCGCUUGCGUCCGAGUUGUAAUUUGCAGAGGAUGAUUUUGGUUAGGUACCUUCCGAGUUCCUUGGAACAGGACGCCUUAGAGGGUGAGAGCCCCGUACGGUUGGAUGCCGAGCCUUUGUAAAUCUCCUUCGACGAGUCGAGUAGUUUGGGAAUGCUGCUCUAAAUGGGAGGUAAAUUUCUUCUAAAGCUAAAUACCGGCCAGAGACCGAUAGCGCACAAGUAGAGUGAUCGAAAGAUGAAAAGCACUUUGAAAAGAGGGUUAAAUAGCACGUGAAAUUGUUGAAAGGGAAGGAUUUAUGACCAGACUUUUUCUAGGAGGAUCAUCCGGUGUUCUCACCGGUGCACUUCUUCUAGUCUAGGCCAGCAUCGACUUUCGGCGGUGGAUAAAAGCUUUGGGAAUGUGACUCCUUUCGGGGAGUGUUAUAGCCUAUUGUAUAAUACACUGCUGGGGGUCGAGGUACGCGCUUCUGCAAGGAUGCUGGCGUAAUGGUUAUCAAUCACCCGUCUUGAAACACGGACCAAGGAGUCGAACAUUUGUGCAAGUGUUUGGGUGUUAAACCCUCACGCGUAAUGAAAGUGAACGGAGGUGAGAGCCCUUACGGGUGCAUCAUCGACCGAUCCUGAUGUUUUCGGAUGGAUUUGAGUAAGAGCAUAACUGUUCGGACCCGAAAGAUGGUGAACUAUGCGUGGAUAGGGUGAAGCCAGAGGAAACUCUGGUGGAGGCUCGCAGCGGUUCUGACGUGCAAAUCGAUCGUCAAAUCUGCGCAUGGGGGGCGAAAGACUAAUCGA
RNAcentral lists this ribosomal RNA (876 nucleotides) under Truncatella angustata. RNAcentral's name for it is "LSU rRNA". It matches the Rfam family "Eukaryotic large subunit ribosomal RNA", at positions 38 to 938 of the family's 3401-position model. Lineage: Eukaryota; Fungi; Ascomycota; Sordariomycetes; Amphisphaeriales; Sporocadaceae. The record is from RNAcentral.